This 480-nucleotide ribosomal RNA is filed under the name uncultured bacterium. RNAcentral describes it as "partial 16S ribosomal RNA". It matches the Rfam family "Bacterial small subunit ribosomal RNA", at positions 28 to 523 of the family's 1533-position model. The record is from RNAcentral.
GACGAACGCUGGCGGCGUGCUUAACACAUGCAAGUCGAACGAGAGAAAUUCCUUCGGGAAGGACUCUAGCGGCGGACGGGUGAGUAACACGUGGGGAACCCGCAUCAUCGAGCGGUAUAGCCUGUCGAAAGGAAGAUUAAUACUGCAUAAGCUUGUAGUAUCGCAUGAUGCAGCAAUUAAAGGAGGAAUCCGCUAUGAGAUGGACCCGCGUCGCAUUAGCUAGUUGGUUAGGUAACGGGUCAGCAAGGCGACGAUGCGUAGCCGACCUGAGAGGGGGAUGGGCCACAUUGGAGCUGGGGCACGGCCCAGACUCCGCAGGGAGGCAGCAGUGGGGAAUAUUGCACAAUGGGGGAAACCCUGAUGCAGCAACGCCGCGUGAGUGAUGACGGUCUUCGGAUUGUAAAACUCUGUCUUCAGGGACGAUAAUGACGGUACCUGAGGAGGAAGCCACGGCUAACUACGUGCCAGCCGCCGCGGUAA